AACGAACGCUGGCGGCAUGCCUAAUACAUGCAAGUCGAACGAGACCUUCGGGUCUAGUGGCGCACGGGUGCGUAACGCGUGGGAACCUGCCCUUAGGUUCGGAAUAACUCCCCGAAAGGGGUGCUAAUACCGGAUAAUGUCUUCGGACCAAAGAUUUAUCGCCUUUGGAUGGGCCCGCGUUGGAUUAGCUAGUUGGUAGGGUAAAAGCCUACCAAGGCGACGAUCCAUAGCUGGUCUGAGAGGAUGAUCAGCCACACUGGGACUGAGACACGGCCCAGACUCCUACGGGAGGCAGCAGUGGGGAAUAUUGGACAAGGGGCGAAGGCCUGAUCCAGCAAUGCCGCGUGAGUGAUGAAGGCCUUAGGGUUGUAAAGCUCUUUUACCCGGGAUGAUAAUGACAGUACCGGGAGAAUAAGCACCGGCUAACUCCGUG
This 433-nucleotide ribosomal RNA is filed under the name uncultured bacterium. RNAcentral describes it as "partial 16S ribosomal RNA". It matches the Rfam family "Bacterial small subunit ribosomal RNA", at positions 29 to 507 of the family's 1533-position model. The record is from RNAcentral.